Molecule: ribosomal RNA, 207 nt
Filed under: uncultured bacterium
Lineage: Bacteria
Description: partial 16S ribosomal RNA
Rfam family: Bacterial small subunit ribosomal RNA
Source: RNAcentral
CUCGUAGGUGGCCAACUCAGUCAGACGUGAAAUCCCUCGGCUUAACCGGGGAACUGCGUCUGAUACUGGAUGGCUUGAGGUUGGGAGAGGGAUGCGGAAUUCCAGGUGUAGCGGUGAGAUGCGUAGAUAUCUGGAGGAACACCGGUGGCGAAGGCGGCAUCCUGGACCAAUUCUGACACUGAGGAGCGAAAGCCAGGGGAGCAAACG